UUGCACCCCAUAAGGCAAUUGGCACAUUGUUUGCAUUUUGCAUCACAAAAGCAUAAUAGUCGCCUAAUUGGUGUGAGCGAAAACUUUUGUUUUCAUUCCACACACUAUCUACAUUUAAUUUUUGAAUUGCAUUUCUGCAUCAACAUAGCAUAAAAAAACUUGACCAGUUGUAGAGUGUAGCUGACAAAUUGGGGACAGUAUAGGAAGAUACAUAUGCCGAUUAUAUCCAUCAGGAUUGAUUGGAUUCCUACGCAUUAGUCUGAACUAUCAUUCUUUGUGAUCUAUGUUUCUAUCCUUUGUUUUACUUUUGUUCCAUUAUAAAAAAAUUAAGUAACUAAUUGAUUCUAGUUGCUUAACACAUAAGAAGUACACUAGUCAUUCUUCUGUGUGCUUAAUUCUGAGCUUCUAUAGAAAUCAGAAUCCUUUAGGGCUCCUUAUUUUUUCGUAAGGAUUAACGUGCAGACCCAAUUCAAGCAAUUUUGAUUUCAAAUGCUCAACUCGACAUAUGAAGCUAUCAAUUGAGGGAUUGUGAGGAAACACAAGGGAAGGUGAGGGAAAGAAUUUAUUCUUUUCACUAAUCUUUAUUGUAGGUCCUACACUAUUUCUCAAUCCAUCAAAAACACUCCACUUAGGAGUAAUGUCCUUGUUGUCUGAAGAGCUCUCAACGUGCAAG
This 673-nucleotide long non-coding RNA is filed under the name Carica papaya (papaya). RNAcentral describes it as "long non-coding RNA (CPAP_LNC010919)". The record is from RNAcentral. Lineage: Eukaryota; Viridiplantae; Streptophyta; Magnoliopsida; Brassicales; Caricaceae.